Molecule: long non-coding RNA, 698 nt
Organism: Felis catus (domestic cat)
Lineage: Eukaryota; Metazoa; Chordata; Mammalia; Carnivora; Felidae
Exons: 3
Source: RefSeq, a predicted model, not a curated record
UUAUCAGUGUCCUGGCCCUCCCUGAGAGCCUCGCUUCUUCAUGGUCCUGCUCCAGCAUCCAGAUACCCCUAAAUGACCUAGCUGGGGCCUGGUCAUCCCCGGAGCCUGUCACAUGGGAUGAACCCUCCUCAUGGCAGAUCCCAGGGUCCUGGCCUCCCACUCAGAAGGGGCUGUCUCAGGGUCUCAGAAGUGCUCACAGGACUGUUCCAGCAUGCCAGCCCUCUUCGGGACCAGUCUCGGUGUCCUGGCCCUCCUUAGUGACCCAGCCUCGUGUCCCAGCCCUCCCUAGGUCCUGCCAGAUCCUGGGGGCUGGCCCCCCUCAGUGACCUGUCUCAGAGUCCAGCCAUCUCUGGUUCCUGUCGGGUCUCAGGGUCACAAUCCCCCUUAGUGACCCGAGCUGGCGUUGGACCCUCUUGGAUGACCCAUCCCAGGGUUUGACUCUCCUCGGUGACCUAUCUCAGGGUCUAGCACUUCCUGGUCCCUGUAUGCUGUGUGCUGGCUGUAUCCUGUUCCAGGGAUUUGGGUGUGGACAUACCAGCUCCUGCCCUCAAAUAGUUGACAUUCUCUUGAGAGGAGCAGAUAAAAGACAAGUAAAGACCAAACAAACAGGAUGGGCUGUGGCCAUCUCAUCAGAUAAGUGGAGGGGCAGAGAGAGAGAGAGAGAGACAUAGAAUCUGAAGCAGGCUUCAGGGUCUGUG